Molecule: ribosomal RNA, 507 nt
Filed under: uncultured Oscillospiraceae bacterium
Lineage: Bacteria; Bacillati; Bacillota; Clostridia; Eubacteriales; Oscillospiraceae
Description: bacterial SSU rRNA
Rfam family: Bacterial small subunit ribosomal RNA
Source: RNAcentral
CGAGAGUUUGAUCCUGGCUACAGGACGAACGCUGGCGGCAUGCUUAACACAUGCAAGUCGAACGGAGCACCCCUGAACGAGGUUUUCGGCCGAAGUGACGGGAAUGCUUAGUGGCGGACGGGUGAGUAACGCGUGAGCAACCUGCCUUGAAGUGGGGGACGAACAGUUGGAAACGACUGCUAAUACCGCAUAAUAUAUCUGAGUCGCAUGGCUUGGAUAUCAAAGAUUUAUCGCUUCAAGAUGGGCUCGCGUCUGAUUAGGUAGUUGGCGGGGUAACGGCCCACCAAGCCGACGAUCAGUAGCCGGACUGAGAGGUUGAACGGCCACAUUGGGACUGAGAUACGGCCCAGACUCCUGCGGGAGGCAGCAGUGGGGAAUAUUGGGCAAUGGGCGCAAGCCUGACCCAGCAAUGCCGCGUGAAGGAAGAAGGCUUUCGGGUUGUAAACUUCUUUGACAGGGGAAGAGCAGAAGACGGUACCCUGAAAACAAGCCACGGCUAACUACGUG